RNAcentral lists this ribosomal RNA (406 nucleotides) under uncultured bacterium. Its description in RNAcentral is "partial 16S ribosomal RNA". It matches the Rfam family "Bacterial small subunit ribosomal RNA", at positions 28 to 526 of the family's 1533-position model. The record is from RNAcentral.
GAUGAACGCUGACAGAAUGCUUAACACAUGCAGUCACUGAUUGUGGCGGACGGGUGAGUAACGCGUAAAGAACUUGCCUCACAGCUAGGGACAACAUUUGGAAACGAAUGCUAAUACCUAAUACUGUGAGAGAGCUUUGCGUCCCAUUAGCUAGUUGGAGAGGUAACGGCUCACCAAGGCGAGGAUGGGUAGCCGGCCUGAGAGGGUGAUCGGGCACAAGGGGACUGGGACACGGCCCGUAGUGCUACGGGAGGCAGGAGUGGGGAAGAUUGGACAAUGGACCAAAGUCUGAUCAAGCAAUGCGGGGUGUACGAUGAAGUUUUCGGAAGGUAAAGGGCUUGCAGUUGGGAAGCGGUACCAACAGAAGAAGUGACGGCUAAAUACGUGCCAGCAGCCGCGGUAAUUC